RNAcentral lists this long non-coding RNA (1156 nucleotides) under Vulpes vulpes (red fox). Its description in RNAcentral is "lncRNA (ENSVVUG00000007100.1)". The record is from RNAcentral. Lineage: Eukaryota; Metazoa; Chordata; Mammalia; Carnivora; Canidae.
UGGAAAUGUACGAUAACACACACGGUUUAUUGGAAAAUGGUAAGGAAGGACAUCGAAGCUCUGGCAAUAUGAAAUUCUAGGUGCUGCUCAGGGUGGUUUACUGAGAGCACAAAUAUGAGACUGUUCGUUUUUUUCCCACUCUUUUGUUACCCAUGUGUCACCCUGUAUGGCGUCUGGGUUUUUGCAUUCUUAAAUGGCAGUCAACUGAAGUGCAACUAAAUGCCACAUGCACUUCCAUAGUUGUUUCAUAGAUUAACAAAUAUCAAGCCUGUAUCAAAGCAAAUUCAAAUUAAAGAUGGUAAAAUAUAACAGCUAUUAUGAAACACAGCCCGUGACAUGGUGGCAUGUGGGUCAGUAGAUGUGGGCUAACAUGCUGCUGAUGUCAUAAUUCUUCUACUCAAUAAUGGGUUGGUUAUGUAGGAAGGUGCAGGGGUUGGUGUGUGAACUUCCGCUUCCGCUACAACAGUACUUUAAAGAGAGGCCUUCCAUUGGCAUUCAGAAAGGUGAAAAGAGCAGGGGUAGGGGUCAGAGACAAAUGAAGAUAAAAUUCUAAGUACAUGUUCAGUUUGGGAUCAUAGGAACAACUAAAAUGCCCAUACUAUGAGAGGAGAAACCAGUUUUGAUCCUACCUGGAGCGAAAUCUUCAAUAUCAGCCCCAUUUUCAGGAAGAAAACUGUUCAGUUAUGAGUAGGAAACUGCCUGUGAAGCAGAAAUUAAGUAUCUUUAGAUCUUAACUCCUAGAGAAACUCCCUAUUAUAGAAAGGAAGUAAAUGUUUACUUAAGAAUUCAGUGUGACAGAUGCAUUAUUUUCUUGCAAUUUAUGGGCAGUAUACUGUCAUUUUGUUUUAUUUUAAUUAGUGUAAUUGUCUUAAAUUCCCUUCUGACCUGGGCUUACCCCUAUCCUACCUCCUCCCACCCCUAGCUAACACAAGUCAGCUAAAUCCCUUAGCUAGCUUGCAGGAUCUUUUAUCUCAUAGAGUAACUAGUUAGUGUUUUGUAACAGUCACCAAUGUUAAGUGCUACCUAUGUGUCAGGCACUGGGGUAAGUACCUUCUAUUUAUAAGAACUUCAUUAUCACAUUAUCUCUUCACGGGAAGUAGGUACUACAGAUCCAUGAUCCCUUACAUAUGUCUGGAUUUCAGAAGGGUCUGAAAAU